GUUUAUCUUCAGGGCAGGGUGCAAUUCCCGACCGGCGGUAAAGUCCGCGACCGUGAUUUAUCACGUUGAACUGGUGAAAUUCCAGUACCGACAGUAAAGUCUGGUAUGUAGAAGAUUAAU
Molecule: non-coding RNA, 120 nt
Filed under: Lentilactobacillus diolivorans
Lineage: Bacteria; Bacillati; Bacillota; Bacilli; Lactobacillales; Lactobacillaceae
Description: Lactobacillus diolivorans FMN sequence
Rfam family: FMN riboswitch aptamer (RFN element)
About the family: The RFN element is a highly conserved domain that is found frequently in the 5'-untranslated regions of prokaryotic mRNAs that encode for flavin mononucleotide (FMN) biosynthesis and transport proteins.
Source: RNAcentral